UGGGGAAUUUUGCACAAUGGGCGCAAGCCUGAUGCAGCGACGCCGCGUGAGGGAUGAAGGCCUUCGGGUUGUAAACCUUUUUCGCUCAUGGUCAAGCCGCAGCUUUGGGUUGUGGUGAGGGUAGUGGGUAAAGAAGCGCCGGCUAACUACGUGCCAGCAGCCGCGGUAAUACGUAGGGCGCGAGCGUUGUCCGGAAUUAUUGGGCGUAAAGGGCUUGUAGGCGGUUGGCCGCGUCUGCCGUGAAAUCCUCUGGCUUAACUGGGGGCGUGCGGUGGGUACGGGUUGACUUGAGGGCGGUAGGGGAGACUGGAAUUCCUGGUGUAGCGGUGGAAUGCGCAGAUAUCAGGAGGAACACCGGUGGCGAAGGCGGGUCUCUGGGCCGUUACUGACGCUGAGGAGCGAAAGCGUGGGGAGCGAACAGG
Molecule: ribosomal RNA, 422 nt
Filed under: Verrucomicrobiota bacterium
Lineage: Bacteria; Pseudomonadati; Verrucomicrobiota
Description: Verrucomicrobia bacterium partial 16S ribosomal RNA
Rfam family: Bacterial small subunit ribosomal RNA
Source: RNAcentral